UACGUAGGGAGCAAGCGUUGUCCGGAAUCAUUGGGCGUAAAGCGCGCGUAGGUGGCCCCGUAAGUCCGCUGUGAAAGUCAAAGGCUCAACCUUUGAAAGCCGGUGGAUACUGUGGGACUAGAGUACGGAAGAGGCGAGUGGAAUUCCUGGUGUAGCGGUGGAAUGCGCAGAUAUCAGGAGGAACACCAAUAGCGAAGGCAGCUCGCUGGGACGUUACUGACACUGAGGCGCGAAAGCGUGGGGAGCAAACAGG
This 253-nucleotide ribosomal RNA is filed under the name uncultured bacterium. Its description in RNAcentral is "partial 16S ribosomal RNA". It matches the Rfam family "Bacterial small subunit ribosomal RNA", at positions 524 to 776 of the family's 1533-position model. The record is from RNAcentral.